RNAcentral lists this unclassified non-coding RNA (299 nucleotides) under Protium ovatum. Its description in RNAcentral is "partial external transcribed spacer". The record is from RNAcentral. Lineage: Eukaryota; Viridiplantae; Streptophyta; Magnoliopsida; Sapindales; Burseraceae.
UACUGGCAGGAUCAACCAGGUAGCAUUCCUUCGCGACGCCGACGCCCGCAUGAGGCCCGACGAGCCGUGCGGCCCUCGGACGCUCAAGACGGGCGCGGCAGUCGUUCGUGUCGAGGGACGAAAUGCGUUGCUUGGGCAAACGNAGGCCGAGAGACCCCGCACCCGCGCAUAACAUUCUGCAUCCGAGAGCACGGGCAGAGCAACUCAUGGGCCNGGGCAACCACGCAAGCGGGGCGAGGCAUGCCAGGAACACGAGGCUCGCCUUGCGUCCACCCCACCACCCGCGAGGGCAUGGGGCG